RNAcentral lists this unclassified non-coding RNA (305 nucleotides) under plant metagenome. RNAcentral's name for it is "partial contains 5.8S ribosomal RNA, internal transcribed spacer 2, and large subunit ribosomal RNA". The stretch from base 1 to 105 matches the Rfam family "5.8S ribosomal RNA", at positions 50 to 154 of the family's 154-position model. The record is from RNAcentral.
GAAAUGCGAUAAGUAAUGUGAAUUGCAGAAUUCAGUGAAUCAUCGAAUCUUUGAACGCACAUUGCGCCCGCCAGUAUUCUGGCGGGCAUGCCUGUUCGUGCGUCAUUUCAACCAUCAAGCCCCCGGCUUGUGUUGGGGACCUGCGGCUGCCCGCAGGCCCUGAAAAACAGUGGCGGGCUCGCUGUCACACCGAGCGUAGUAGCAUACAUUCUCGCUCAGGGCGUGCUGCGGGUUCCGGCCGUUAAACGACCUUCAUAACCCAAGGUUGACCUCGGAUCAGGUAGGAAGACCCGCUGAACUUAAGC